GACGAACCGUGCGAACGUUGUUCGGAAUCACUGGGCUUAAAGGGCGCGUAGGCGGGCGGCCCAGUCUGUGGUGAAAGCCCCCGGCUCAACCGGGGAACGGCCGCGGAUACUGGCCGCCUCGAGGGGGGUAGGGGCGCGCGGAACGCCGGGUGGAGCGGUGAAAUGCGUUGAUAUCCGGCGGAACUCCGGUGGCGAAAGCGGCGCGCCGGGCCCCGCCUGACGCUGAGGCGCGAAAGCCAGGGGAGCGAACGGG
This 253-nucleotide ribosomal RNA is filed under the name uncultured bacterium. Its description in RNAcentral is "partial 16S ribosomal RNA". It matches the Rfam family "Bacterial small subunit ribosomal RNA", at positions 524 to 776 of the family's 1533-position model. The record is from RNAcentral.